GACGAACGCUGGCGGCGUGCCUAAUACAUGCAAGUCGAGCGAAGUUUUUCUGGUGCUUGCACUAGAAAAACUUAGCGGCGAACGGGUGAGUAACACGUAAAGAACCUGCCUCAUAGACUGGGACAACUAUUGGAAACGAUAGCUAAUACCGGAUAACAGUAUUUCUCGCAUGAGAGAUAUUUAAAAGUUGGUUAUGCUAACACUAUGAGAUGGCUUUGCGGUGCAUUAGCUAGUUGGUGGGGUAAAGGCCCACCAAGGCGACGAUGCAUAGCCGACCUGAGAGGGUGAUCGGCCACACCGGGACUGAGACACGGCCCAGACUCCUACGGGAGGCAGCAGUAGGGAAUCUUCCGCAAUGGGCGAAAGCCUGACGGAGCAACGCCGCGUGAGUGAAGAAGGAUUUCGGUUCGUAAAGCUCUGUUGUUAGGGAAGAAUGGAUAUGUAGUAACUAUACAUGUAAGAGACGGUACCUAACCAGAAAGCCACGGCUAACUACGUG
This 499-nucleotide ribosomal RNA is filed under the name uncultured bacterium. RNAcentral's name for it is "partial 16S ribosomal RNA". It matches the Rfam family "Bacterial small subunit ribosomal RNA", at positions 28 to 507 of the family's 1533-position model. The record is from RNAcentral.